RNAcentral lists this unclassified non-coding RNA (533 nucleotides) under Hevea brasiliensis (rubber tree). The record is from RNAcentral. Lineage: Eukaryota; Viridiplantae; Streptophyta; Magnoliopsida; Malpighiales; Euphorbiaceae.
AUUUCCCCAUUUCCCAUGACUGAGGAAGAAAAAUAGAGAUGGGGUGCAUGAUGCGCUUUGCCCAUUGGAGAUUCAUUCUCUUCAGCACUUGGAGCGGAAGAUUUACUAGCAUCAUUUGCAAUUGAGAGACUUUGCAGUAUGGAAGUAGCAAGGUCUUUUGCAUCACCAGAAAGACGAUUUUCUGAAACAGCAGGCCCAUUUGCAGAAUUUUGCACUUCAUUAAUUGUUCCACUAAAAUUUGUUUUCUUACCUGAUACCUUAACAUUGCCCGGAUGCAAAGGUUGCUCAUGAUUCAAUCUACAUUCUCCAGUUAUGCCACUUGAAUUAGAAGAUUCUGAUUCACAAAUUGUAUGAUUGUCUUCAUAUGACUCUGCACCUGGAAAUGUCGGUCUGCCAGUAAACCCAUGCUGUCCAUCUGAAGUUGCAGGAUCUUGAACAUCAGGUCUCUGUCCACUUCCAUGUCUAUCUAAAGUGUUCGAAAAAAAUUUAGAAAGUUCCUCGGUUAUGCUUUCUUCUGGCUGAGAAAGGAUGCG